Molecule: ribosomal RNA, 483 nt
Filed under: uncultured bacterium
Lineage: Bacteria
Description: partial 16S ribosomal RNA
Rfam family: Bacterial small subunit ribosomal RNA
Source: RNAcentral
AUUGAACGCUGGCGGCAGGCCUAACACAUGCAAGUCGAGCGGAUGAAGGGAGCUUGCUCCUGGAUUCAGCUGCGGACGGGUGAGUAAUGCCUAGGAAUCUGCCUUGUCGUGGGGAUAACGUCCGGAAACGGGCGCUAAUACCGCAUACGUCCUGUGUGAGAAAGUGGAGGAUCCUCGGACCUCACGCUAUCAUAUGAGCCUAGGUCGGAUUAGCUAGUUGGUGGGGUAAAGGCCUACCAAGGCCACGAUCCGUAACUGGUCUGAGAGGAUGAUCAGUCACACUGGAACUGAGACACGGUCCAGACUCCUACGGGAGGCAGCAGUGGGGAAUAUUGGACAAUGGGCGAAAGCCUGAUCCAGCCAUGCCGCGUGUGUGAAGAAGGUCUUCGGAUUGUAAAGCUCUGUAAGUUGGGAGGAAGGGAAGUAAGUUAAUACCUGGCUGUUUUGACGUUACCAACAGAAUAAGCACCGGCUAACUUCGUG